UCAGUGGCGAACGGGUGAGUAACACGUGACAAUCUGCCCUUGACUCUGGGAUAAGCGUUGGAAACGACGUCUAAUACCGGAUACGACCUUGGAAGGCAUCUUCUGGGGUGGAAAGAAUUUUGGUCAAGGAUGAGCUCGCGGCCUAUCAGCUAGUUGGUGAGGUAAUGGCUCACCAAGGCGACGACGGGUAGCCGGCCUGAGAGGGUGACCGGCCACACUGGGACUGAGACACGGCCCAGACUCCUACGGGAGGCAGCAGUGGGGAAUAUUGCACAAUGGGCGAAAGUGAUGCAGCAACSCGCGUGAGGGACGACGGCCUUCGGGUUGUAAACCUCUUUUAGUAGGGAAGAAGCGUWAAAGUGACGGUACCUGCAGAAAAAGCACCGGCUAACUACGUGCCAGCAGCCGCGGUAAUACGUAGGGUGCAAGCGUUGUCCGGAAUUAUUGGGCGUAAAGAGCUCGUAGGCGGUUUGUCGCGUCUGCUGUGAAAACCCGAGGCUCAACCUCGGCCUGCAGUGGGUACGGGCAGACUAGAGUGCGGUAGGGGAGAUUGGAAUUCCUGGUGUAGCGGUGGAAUGCGCAGAUAUCAGGAGGAACACCAAUGGCGAAGGCAGAUCUCUGGGCCGUAACUGACGCUGAGGAGCGAAAGCAUGGGGAGCGAACAGGAUUAGAUACCCUGGUAGUCCAUGCCGUAAACGUUGGGAACUAGAUGUGGGGACCAUUCCACGGUCUCCGUGUCGCAGCUAACGCAUUAAGUUCCCCGCCUGGGGAGUACGGCCGCAAGGCUAAAACUCAAAGGAAUUGACGGGGGCCGCACAAGCGGCGGAGCAUGCGGAUUAAUUCGAUGCAACGCGAAGAACCUUACCAAGGCUUGACAUAUAGAGGAAACGUCUGGAAACAGUCGCCCCGCAAGGUCUCUAUACAGGUGGUGCAUGGUUGUCGUCAGCUCGUGUCGUGAGAUGUUGGGUUAAGUCCCGCAACGAGCGCAACCCUCGUCCUAUGUUGCCAGCACGUAAUGGUGGGAACUCAUGGGAUACUGCCGGGGUCAACUCGGAGGAAGGUGGGGAUGACGUCAAAUCAUCAUGCCCCUUAUGUCUUGGGUUCACGCAUGCUACAAUGGCCGGUACAAAGGGCUGCAAUACCGCAAGGUGGAGCGAAUCCCAAAAAGCCGGUCUCAGUUCGGAUUGAGGUCUGCAACUCGACCUCAUGAAGUCGGAGUCGCUAGUAAUCGCAGAUCACAACGCUGCGGUGAAUACGUUCCCGUACCUUGUACACACCGCCCGUCAAGUCAUGAAAGUCGGU
RNAcentral lists this ribosomal RNA (1302 nucleotides) under Cryobacterium psychrotolerans. RNAcentral describes it as "bacterial SSU rRNA". It matches the Rfam family "Bacterial small subunit ribosomal RNA", at positions 92 to 1415 of the family's 1533-position model. Lineage: Bacteria; Bacillati; Actinomycetota; Actinomycetes; Micrococcales; Microbacteriaceae. The record is from RNAcentral.